Molecule: long non-coding RNA, 541 nt
Filed under: Nicotiana benthamiana
Lineage: Eukaryota; Viridiplantae; Streptophyta; Magnoliopsida; Solanales; Solanaceae
Description: long non-coding RNA (NBEN_LNC023219)
Source: RNAcentral
CCCUCUUUAUCUAUAGAACCUUCGAGUUUUUCUUCUCUGAUGGCCUUCACCAUCUCUCUGGCCACCUCCAGCCUCGCCUUUUUCAACCACCAACCGUUUUGGAGCCUUAUCUCACCGGUUCCCUCCAUCCCUGAGACUUCAUGAUUCUUCAGCAUGCAUGAUGGUCACUAAAGCUUUGCCUGGGUUUGUUUUCGGCCUUUCUCCGAUGGGUUUUGGUCCAAUGGUCCAAUAAACACUAUUUUUCCUAAAGUUUCACAGCCAGGUUUCUCUUACUUCUCUCACUGGUUUCUUAUGAAACCUAAUCUCAAUCCAAACCUCUUAAAUCUUUGUAUUUUUGAUGAUUUUUAAUUAACACCUUAAUGUUUUGCACUACUCUCUACUCGAUCGUUACGAUUGCUCAAGUAUUAAACGUUUUGUUCCCUUUUUGAAACUAGGAUUUCUGAACCCCUUUUUGAAAUCACUUUACUUUCUGAUUUUGAGUACUAAUUCGUGGUUCUCACUACUAUUUCUAAACAUUUUGCUUAUGUCUGAUGAAACCCUA